This 253-nucleotide ribosomal RNA is filed under the name uncultured bacterium. RNAcentral describes it as "partial 16S ribosomal RNA". It matches the Rfam family "Bacterial small subunit ribosomal RNA", at positions 524 to 776 of the family's 1533-position model. The record is from RNAcentral.
UACAGAGGGGGCAAGCGUUGUUCGGAAUUACUGGGCGUAAAGCGCACGUAGGCGGAUUGUUAAGUCAGAGGUGAAAUCCCGGAGCUCAACUUCGGAACUGCCUUUGAUACUGGCAAUCUAGAGUCCGGAAGAGGUUAGUGGAAUUCCCAGUGUAGAGGUGAAAUUCGUAGAUAUUGGGAAGAACACCAGUGGCGAAGGCGGCUAACUGGUCCGGUACUGACGCUGAGGUGCGAAAGCGUGGGGAGCAAACAGG